Molecule: non-coding RNA, 379 nt
Organism: Pelobates cultripes (western spadefoot toad)
Lineage: Eukaryota; Metazoa; Chordata; Amphibia; Anura; Pelobatidae
Source: the annotation of a GenBank genome assembly
GAAUGUUUUAGGUCUAAGCCUAACAAAUUAAAAAAAAAACUUAAAGAUUUUUCUUUACAACCGCUAAAAUAAGCAAAACCUUUUUAUUGCAAAAAUUCUGGAGAAUGGCUGUUGGUUAAUUUACUUCUAGCGCACAGUGAGAGAGGAACUAGACAGACAGACAGGCAGUAAACGUAACAUGGGAAAGUUCUAACAGGAAAAUGUAUUGUGUUUUUAAUGCCGCAGAGAAAUUAUUCACAGAAACUACAGAAUGGAUAAUGAACUGGAAAUGCCAUGAGAAUUGUUCCUUUUCAAGAUCUACUGCACUCGUCUUCUGAUACUACAAUAAAGGUCACAUUAAAUGGCAGCGAGACUAACGUUAAAAAACAGGUAGUGAAGG